RNAcentral lists this ribosomal RNA (465 nucleotides) under uncultured bacterium. RNAcentral describes it as "partial 16S ribosomal RNA". It matches the Rfam family "Bacterial small subunit ribosomal RNA", at positions 28 to 507 of the family's 1533-position model. The record is from RNAcentral.
GACGAACGCUGGCGGCGUGCUUAACACAUGCAAGUCGAGCGAGGCCCCUCCUUCGGGAGGGUGUCCUAGCGGCGAACGGGUGAGUAACACGUGGGCAACCUGCCCUCAGCUCUGGGAUAACUCCUGGAAACCGGGGCUAAUACCGGAUACGACCUCCACGGGCAUCUGCGGAGGUGGAAAGUUUUUCGGCUGAGGAUGGGCCCGCGGCCUAUCAGCUAGUUGGUGGGGUAGUGGCCCACCAAGGCGACGACGGGUAGCCGGCCUGAGAGGGCGACCGGCCACACUGAGACUGAGACACGGCCCAGACUCCUACGGGAGGCAGCAGUGGGGAAUAUUGCGCAAUGGGCGAAAGCCUGACGCAGCGACGCCGCGUGAGGGACGAAGGCCUUCGGGUUGUAAACCGCUUUCAGCAGAGACGAAGCGAAAGUGACGGUACCUGCAGAAGAAGCACCGGCCAACUACGUG